Molecule: long non-coding RNA, 562 nt
Filed under: Equus caballus (horse)
Lineage: Eukaryota; Metazoa; Chordata; Mammalia; Perissodactyla; Equidae
Description: lncRNA (ENSECAG00000045633.1)
Source: RNAcentral
UGCAUUUCUAACAAGUUCCCAGGUGCCGCUCCUGGUGCCGGUUGGACUCAACUUUGAGAACCACUGGUCUGAGGUCAAGGAUGGUCUUUGAAAUCACAGAUAGAUCUUUACUAAUUUGUUAUUUAUCAAGCCACUAACCUCUCUGAAUCUCAGUUUCUUCAUCUGUAAAAUGGGGUUAAUGACAACCUGGUCAGACUGUUUGAAGAUUCAGCAGAUGAAGUCUGUGAAAAUUCCUGGAACAGGCCAUUGUUUAUCAGUGUCGGGGAAGGACGUCCAGAUGGGAUAUUCCUGGCUCCCGGUGGCUCGCCCUUGCUUCCAAUCUCUGUUUUCCAAAUUGGGAAUAUCAGGCCCUUGACUUCUUGGCUGAUGCCCGCCCGUGUUGGGGAGGACCGUCUGCUCUACUAGAAUCUGUGCGUGCUCACCCUCCACCCAAGCCGCUCUAGGUGUCUACUCCUGCUCCCCCUUCAGAGUUCUCAACUGUCCUGGGGGAAGCCUCCGUUGACCCCUGAAGUUAGGUCAGAGGCCCUGUUCUGUGAAUCCCUUGACCCUGGACUCCUCUGGC